This 157-nucleotide non-coding RNA is filed under the name human gut metagenome. Its description in RNAcentral is "Lysine riboswitch". It matches the Rfam family "Lysine riboswitch aptamer". From Rfam's summary of the family: Riboswitches are metabolite binding domains within certain messenger RNAs that serve as precision sensors for their corresponding targets. Allosteric rearrangement of mRNA structure is mediated by ligand binding, and this results in modulation of gene expression. This family includes riboswitches that sense lysine in a number of genes involved in lysine metabolism, including lysC. The record is from RNAcentral. RNAcentral also lists the same sequence under 1 other name.
UAAGAGGCGCAAGGCUUAUCAGUACGGGUCGCAUAUCGGAUUGAAGCGACGAAGGAAAGGAAGUUUUGCCGAAACGGCGGUUUUUAUCCGGAAAAUCUCCGUUGGGCUGCAGGGAAAUACGUUGCAGACUGUCGCAGGGAAACUUGCGGAGCGCUUG